Molecule: ribosomal RNA, 309 nt
Filed under: uncultured eukaryote
Lineage: Eukaryota
Description: partial 18S ribosomal RNA
Rfam family: Eukaryotic small subunit ribosomal RNA
Source: RNAcentral
CCCUUAGAUGUUCUGGGCGGCCCGCGCACUACACUGGCACUCUCAAUCAGAGCCUGGAUCUAACACUUUGGGGUAUUUUAUGAAGUGGUGUCGUGACUGGGAUUAACCCUUGCAAUUAUUGGUUACGAACGAGGAAUUCCUUGUAAUCGCGGUUUAUCAGCCCGCGUUGAAUGCGUCCCUGCCCUUUGUACACACCGCCCGUCGCUCCUACCGAUGGAUCGUCCGGUGAAGCUCAUGGAGGGGCGGUUGUCUCAGCUGCCGUCGAAGUGAAAUGGACCUCACGAUCUAGAGGAAGGAGAAGUCGUAACA